This 497-nucleotide ribosomal RNA is filed under the name Psammodynastes pulverulentus. RNAcentral's name for it is "partial 12S ribosomal RNA". It matches the Rfam family "Bacterial small subunit ribosomal RNA", at positions 793 to 1522 of the family's 1533-position model. Lineage: Eukaryota; Metazoa; Chordata; Lepidosauria; Squamata; Psammodynastidae. The record is from RNAcentral.
GCCUUAGCUGUAACCAAACAAUUAAAUAACCAAUUGUUCGCCAAAUAACUACGAGUGAAAACUUAAAAUUUAAAAGACUUGACGGUACUUCACACCGACCUAGAGGAGCCUGUCUAUUAACCGAUAAUCCACGACAACCCAACCCACCCUAGCCCACAACAGUCUAUAUACCGCCGUCGCCAGCCUGCCUUAUGAAAGAAACAAAGCGGACCUAAUAGAAUCGCACUAACACGACAGGUCGAGGUGUAACUAAUGGGUGGGAACAAGAUGGGCUACAUUUUCUAACCCAGAAAAUACGGAUAAACUAUGAAACUAGAAACUGAAGGCGGAUUUAGCAGUAAGUUAAGAACAAGACACUUAACUGAAACAAACGCAAUGAAGUGCGUACACACCGCCCGUCAUCCCUGCAAGUACAACUAAAAAUACAUAAACUACCAACCCACCCCAAUCAGGGCAAGUCGUAACAUGGUAAGCGUACUGGAAAGUGCGCUUAGAAA